GAAUGUGAGGGCAAUCUGGCUCCAACAUGUUGCCCCAUUGAUUGCCAGCAUUCAUUCUGGCUGAUCUGACUGAGUAGGCAGGUGUCCCCUUCCUCCCUUGAUGCUCCAUGUGAGUCCCUCCUGAAGCCGCGUGCUCAGUUGAAGAGGAUGACCACCCCUGAUAGAGGAAGACUGCUCCUUGUUCAAGGAUAUAUGAGUAACUUCACUCCCCUUCUAGAACCUCCAAACAAGCUCUCCUGUACUAAACUACAGUCAAAAUGGAUCAAAUACUUAAAUACUAACAGUGAAACUCU
Molecule: small nuclear RNA, 293 nt
Filed under: Octodon degus (degu)
Lineage: Eukaryota; Metazoa; Chordata; Mammalia; Rodentia; Octodontidae
Description: 7SK RNA (ENSODEG00000024797.1)
Rfam family: 7SK RNA
About the family: 7SK was discovered as an abundant small nuclear RNA in the mid-70s but a possible function has only recently been suggested. Two independent studies have found that 7SK RNA binds the CDK9/cyclin T complex (known as elongation factor P-TEFb). P-TEFb activates transcription by phosphorylating the C-terminal domain of RNA polymerase II.
Source: RNAcentral